UUUUCUUCCUACAUGAAGCCACCACUGGUGCUGGUGAAGCAGGUGAUGGUUGUUUUUCCGGUUGACUCUUUUGUGUUUCCAUUCUUUAUCUCUCUUAGAAUAAUAUGCACCCGCCAAAAAUAUGUUUUAAACUAUAAGCCAAGUAGAAAAUCUUCACAAGAAAAUUAGGAAAGCACCAAUCUUGAUUCAGCCAUUCCUCUUACAAGAAGGAACUUAUUUUAAAAAGCAACAAAUCUCGACUAUACGAAAAAAAAAGUAUCACUCAAUGGCAUAAUUUGAAAAUAAAAAUUAAACCACCACGCACAAGAAGUAAAUAAAAAAGUAAAACAAAUCAAGCAUCAGAAUUAUAAAUUUAAAGAAAUAUAGACAAUUACAAAGCAACUGACAGAUAGUAAAAAUACAAGAAAUGUCACUCUUUUAAAAAUAAAUCAAAAGAGAAGACGGAUUGUAAAAAUCAAUUCAAAAUUUAACAUAAAGUAAAUCAUAUUCUAUUUCUGUUGCUAUAAGCAUAAGACAUGAACAUCCUAAAUUUUUAAAACAAAACGAAAAAAAUUAUCAAGAACUGGAAAGACACUUGAAAUUUUUAUUUAUAUUUGGUUAUAAGAAGUAGGAAGAGAGACAAGCGUACCGAAUGAAGAGAAUUGCAACGAUGGAGAAAGAGGGAUCCAAUAGAUCUGCAGGUGGAGGAUAAGAUAGAAGACAGAAGAGAAGUGCCAGCGAGGAAGGAAAGAGAGAGAAAAGCGACGC
RNAcentral lists this long non-coding RNA (747 nucleotides) under Theobroma cacao (cacao). RNAcentral's name for it is "long non-coding RNA (TCAC_LNC000139)". Lineage: Eukaryota; Viridiplantae; Streptophyta; Magnoliopsida; Malvales; Malvaceae. The record is from RNAcentral.